This 252-nucleotide ribosomal RNA is filed under the name uncultured bacterium. Its description in RNAcentral is "partial 16S ribosomal RNA". It matches the Rfam family "Bacterial small subunit ribosomal RNA", at positions 524 to 776 of the family's 1533-position model. The record is from RNAcentral.
UACGAAGGGGGCUAGCGUUGCUCGGAAUUACUGGGCGUAAAGCGCACGUAGGCGGAUUGUUAAGUCGGGGGUGAAAUCCUGGAGCUCAACUCCAGAACUGCCUUCGAUACUGGCGAUCUCGAGUUCGGGAGAGGUGAGUGGAACUGCGAGUGUAGAGGUGAAAUUCGUAGAUAUUCGCAAGAACACCAGUGGCGAAGGCGGCUCACUGGCCGAUACUGACGCUGAGGUGCGAAAGCGUGGGGAGCAAACAGG